This 774-nucleotide ribosomal RNA is filed under the name uncultured Neocallimastigales. RNAcentral describes it as "partial large subunit ribosomal RNA". It matches the Rfam family "Eukaryotic large subunit ribosomal RNA", at positions 23 to 645 of the family's 3401-position model. Lineage: Eukaryota; Fungi; Neocallimastigomycota; Neocallimastigomycetes; Neocallimastigales. The record is from RNAcentral.
AUAGAGACUCAGAGCUGCAUAUCAAUAAGCGGAGGAAAAGAAACUAACUAGGAUUCCCUUAGUAACGGCGAGUGAAGCGGGAAGAGCUCAAAUUUGAAAUCUUCAAGGUUUUACCUUGACGAAUUGUAGUUUAAAGAAGUGUUUUCUGUUGGUGUUUUGGUAAAAGUUCUUUGGAAUAGGACAUCAUAGAGGGUGAGAAUCCCGUAUUUGACCAUUACUUCCAGCGUUGUGAUACACUUUCAAAGAGUCGGAUUGUUUGGGAAUGCAGUCCAAAAUGGGUGGUAAAUUUCAUCUAAAGCUAAAUAUUGGCGAGAGACCGAUAGCGAACAAGUACCGUGAGGGAAAGAUGAAAAGAACUUUGAAAAGAGAGUUAAACAGUACGUGAAAUUGUCAAAAGGGAAGCGUUUGACACCAGUGUUGUUUUUCCGAAAAUCAAUUACGAAUGGCUUGAUUCUGUGUUGUAUUGACCUUAUCAGCUUUCUUCACUUUUUUCGAGUCUUUCUUAAUGCACUUUUCGGUUAACAAGUCAACAUCAAUUUCUUUUGUUGUAAAAGAGUAUUCGGAAGGUGGCUUUCUUUUCGGAGAAAGUGUUUAUAGCCCUAUACUUCUACAAUCGGAGAGAUUGAGGUCUGCAGCGUAGAUCCUUCGGGGUUAGAUACAUUUGUGCUAAGUUGUAGCUUUUCAUAGACAACUUGUUGACUAUGUUUAGUCAUGCGGCUUACUCGCUUAUGCUAUUUUACCUACGCUUAGGAUGUUGAAGUCAUCGUAUCGCGC